UGAAUACGAGACGCUAAGGCGUCGAAGUAGUGUAUGUCAUACUUCCAAGAAAAGCUUGCACUGUCAUAGAUAAAAAACGCCUGUACCAUAACCGACACAGGUGGGUAGGUAGAGUAUACUAAGGGGCGCGAGAUAACUCUCUCUAAGGAACUCGGCAAAAUAACUCCGUAACUUCGGGAGAAGGAGUGCCUUAUUUUUAAGGCUGCAAUAACAAGAUCCAAGCAACUGUUUAUCAAAAACACAGGUCUCCGCUAAGUCGUAAGACGAUGUAUGGGGGCUGACGCCUGCCCAGUGCCAGAAGGUUAAAGAAGUUGGUUAGCUUUUGCGAAGCUGAUAACUGAAGCCCUGGUGAACGGCGGCCGUAACUAUAACGGUCCUAAGGUAGCGAAAUUCCUUGUCGGGUAAGUUCCGACCCGCACGAAAGGCGUAAUGAUUUGGAUACUGUCUCGGAGAGGGGCUCGGUGAAAUAGACUUGUCUGUGAAGGUGCGGACUACCUGCACCAGGACAGAAAGACCCUAUGAAGCUUUACUGUAACUUGAAAUUGAAAUUGGACUUUAUUCGCGCAGCAUAGGUGGGAGGCGUUGAUUAUAAUCUCGUGGGAUUAUUGGAGCCAUCAGUGAGAUACCACUCUUGUAAUGUUAGAUUUCUAACUUUGAAUCAUUAUCUGGUCAAAGAACAGUUUCAGGCGGGCAGUUUGACUGGGGCGGUCGCCUCCUAAACGGCAACGGAGGCGUACAAAGGUUUCCUCUGAACGGUUAGAUAUCGUAUCUAGAGUGUAAAGGCAUAAGGAAGCUUGACUGUGAGACCUACAAGUCGAGCAGGGACGAAAGUCGGUCUUAGUGAUCUGACGGUACUGAGUGGAAAGGCCGUCACUCAACGGAUAAAAGUUACUCUAGGGUAACAGGCUGAUCUCCCCCAAGAGUUCACAUCGACGGGGAGGUUUGGCACCUCGAUGUCGGCUCAUCGCAUCCUGGGGCGGUAGUACGUCCCAAGGGUUGGGCUGUUCGCCCAUGAAAGCGGUACGCGAGCUGGGUUCAGAACGUCGUGAGACAGUUCGGUCCAUAUCCGGUGUAGGCGUUAGAAUAUUGAGAGGAGCCUUCUUUAGUACGAGAGGACCGAGAAGGACAUACCUCUGGUGUACCAGUUAUCGUGCCAACGGUAAACGCUGGGUAGCUAUGUAUGGAGUGGAUAACCGCUGAAAGCAUCUAAGUGGGAAGCCCACCUCAAGAUAAGUAUUCUCAC
This 1243-nucleotide ribosomal RNA is filed under the name metagenome. Its description in RNAcentral is "bacterial LSU rRNA". It matches the Rfam family "Bacterial large subunit ribosomal RNA", at positions 1564 to 2817 of the family's 2925-position model. The record is from RNAcentral.